Molecule: ribosomal RNA, 216 nt
Filed under: uncultured bacterium
Lineage: Bacteria
Description: partial 16S ribosomal RNA
Rfam family: Bacterial small subunit ribosomal RNA
Source: RNAcentral
GUAUGGGGAUCUGCCCGAUAGAGGGGGAUAACUACUGGAAACGGUGGCUAAUACCGCAUAAUGUCUACGGACCAAAGCAGGGGCUCUUCGGACCUUGCACUAUCGGAUGAACCCAUAUGGGAUUAGCUAGUAGGUGGAGUAAAGGCUCACCUAGGCGACGAUCUCUAGCUGGUCUGAGAGGAUGAUCAGCCACACUGGGACUGAGACACGGCCCAG